CGGGGCGCUUCUUUGACUGAUG
Molecule: microRNA, 22 nt
Filed under: Panagrellus redivivus
Lineage: Eukaryota; Metazoa; Nematoda; Chromadorea; Rhabditida; Panagrolaimidae
Description: prd-miR-7927b-5p
Source: miRBase by way of RNAcentral